UUCAAACAUUAAGCCAUGCAUGUCUAAGUAUAAGCAAAUUAUACCGUGAAACUGCGAAUGGCUCAUUAAAUCAGUUAUCGUUUAUUUGAUAGUACCUUACUACUUGGAUAACCGUGGUAAUUCUAGAGCUAAUACAUGCUGAAAACCCCGACUUCGGAAGGGGUGUAUUUAUUAGAUAAAAAACCAAUGCCCUUCGGGGCUCCUUGGUGAUUCAUAAUAACUUCUCAGAUCGCAUGGCCUUGCGCCGGCGACGGUUCAUUCAAAUUUCUGCCCUAUCAACUUUCGAUGGUAAGGUAUUGGCUUACCAUGGUUUCAACGGGUAACGGGGAAUUAGGGUUCGAUUCCGGAGAGGGAGCCUGAGAAACGGCUACCACAUCCAAGGAAGGCAGCAGGCGCGCAAAUUACCCAAUCCCGACACGGGGAGGUAGUGACAAUAAAUACUGAUACAGGGCUCUUUUGGGUCUUGUAAUUGGAAUGAGUACAAUUUAAACCUCUUAACGAGGAACAAUUGGAGGGCAAGUCUGGUGCCAGCAGCCGCGGUAAUUCCAGCUCCAAUAGCGUAUAUUAAAGUUGUUGCAGUUAAAAAGCUCGUAGUUGAACCUUUGGCCUGGCUGGCAGGUCCGCCUCACCGCGUGCACUUGUCCGGCCGGGCCUUCUUUUCUGGAGAACCGCAUGCCCUUCACUGGGUGUGUUGGGGACCAGGACUUUUACUUUGAAAAAAUUAGAGUGUUCAAAGCAGGCCUUUGCUCGAAUACGUUAGCAUGGAAUAAUAGAAUAGGACGUGCGGUCCUAUUUUGUUGGUUUCUAGGACCGCCGUAAUGAUUAAUAGGGACAGUCGGGGGCAUCAGUAUUCAAUUGUCAGAGGUGAAAUUCUUGGAUUUAUUGAAGACUAACUACUGCGAAAGCAUUUGCCAAGGAUGUUUUCAUUAAUCAGUGAACGAAAGUUAGGGGAUCGAAGACGAUCAGAUACCGUCGUAGUCUUAACCAUAAACUAUGCCGACUAGGGAUCGGGCGGUGUUAUUAUUUUGACUCGCUCGGCACCUUACGAGAAAUCAAAGUGUUUGGU
RNAcentral lists this ribosomal RNA (1066 nucleotides) under Murilentithecium clematidis. RNAcentral's name for it is "SSU rRNA". It matches the Rfam family "Eukaryotic small subunit ribosomal RNA", at positions 36 to 1111 of the family's 1831-position model. The record is from RNAcentral. Lineage: Eukaryota; Fungi; Ascomycota; Dothideomycetes; Pleosporales; Lentitheciaceae.